Molecule: ribosomal RNA, 468 nt
Filed under: uncultured bacterium
Lineage: Bacteria
Description: partial 16S ribosomal RNA
Rfam family: Bacterial small subunit ribosomal RNA
Source: RNAcentral
GACGAACGCUGGCGGCGUGCUUAACACAUGCAAGUCGAACGGAAAGGCCCUGCUUUUGGGGGGUGCUCGGGGGGCGAACGGGUGAGUCACACGUGAGUAACCUGCCCCUGACUUUGGGAUAACUUCAGGAAACUGGGGCUAAUACUGGAUAGGCGCUCCUGCUGCAUGGUGGGGGUUGGAAAGUUUCGGCGGUUGGGGAUGGACUCGCGGCUUAUCUGUUUGUUGGUGGGGUGGGGGCUUACAAAGGCUUUGACGGGUGGCCGGCCGGGGGGGUGGACCGGCAAAUUUGGGACGAGGAUACGGCCCGGACCCCAAGGGGGGGAAGCAGUGGGGAAUUUGGACAAUGGGGCGAAAGCUGAAGGAGGCACGGCGGGGUGCGGGAUGACGGCCUUGGGUUGUAAACCCGCUUUCGCAUGGGAGGAAGCGUGAGUGACGGUAAUGGGUGAAGAAGCACCGGCUAACUACGUG